GGGCCGUUCGUCUAAUGGCAAGAUCCGCAGGUUGACGAUAGCGGGAUGCGGGUUCGAUUCCCGCACGGUCCA
This 72-nucleotide transfer RNA is filed under the name Patescibacteria group bacterium. RNAcentral's name for it is "tRNA-OTHER". It matches the Rfam family "tRNA". Rfam says of the family: Transfer RNA (tRNA) molecules are approximately 80 nucleotides in length. Their secondary structure includes four short double-helical elements and three loops (D, anti-codon, and T loops). The record is from RNAcentral.